UCGAACUGUAGAGUUUGAUCCUGGCUCAGAUUGAACGCUGG
Molecule: ribosomal RNA, 41 nt
Filed under: Roseateles sp. YR242
Lineage: Bacteria; Pseudomonadati; Pseudomonadota; Betaproteobacteria; Burkholderiales; Sphaerotilaceae
Description: 16S rRNA. Bacterial SSU
Source: RNAcentral